RNAcentral lists this long non-coding RNA (28109 nucleotides) under Malus domestica (apple). Its description in RNAcentral is "long non-coding RNA (MDOM_LNC014621)". Lineage: Eukaryota; Viridiplantae; Streptophyta; Magnoliopsida; Rosales; Rosaceae. The record is from RNAcentral.
AAAAAAAAAAAAAAACUCAGACAAUUCAAAUGCAAGGUACCACAAACUACGCAGACUUUCCAAUGCCUUGUGCUUGAGACAUGCAGUUGGCAGUUUGACCCUUAAUCCCUUUGCAGUUCACAUACUAAAAGAGAAAGAGUAGGGUUCCAGAACUUGUUGCGCCCCCCGCCCCAAAAACCCACCAUGUGGGAGGACUUUUCAGUUCAUCCAAUUGUAUAGGGUAACAUUGGACUUUUCAGUUCAUCCAAUCAUAUAGGGUAACAUUUCUUCUUUUGCAAGAUUAAUAUAAUGACAAAGAAAAAUAACUCUCUUAACGAAACGGCCAGUGUAACUCAUAUAUAUGAUGAAUUGGAGUAUCUUUCUAAACACAAUACGUAUACUAUAUAAGGGUCAAGAACCAAAACCCAAUUAUUUCAGUUACUUAUGUUGUAUAAAAGAAACAAAAGAGGAGUCACAAAGAAAAGUUUAAAUAAAAAGUUACUAAAUGUUAAUUUUUAGGGUUAUUGUAUUUCUGGUGAGUGAAGUAAUUAAAUUAUGGAACUUUAACGAAAAGCUCCUAGUACUGUUUAUUUUAACGAAAAACCAUAUUUUUACACUAAAAAGUUAAUCAUGGUACUAUUCACUUUACCUUUUAUUUUGUCCUUAUCGUUAAAACUUAAAGUUUUCAAGUCAUUUUCAUUAGUUUUCUUAUUAAUUAUUUGAAAGCAAAAUAGAUGGAGAGAGGUCAUUCAUUUUCUGGCCAGUGCGGACAGAGGCCGAAGUGACUUCCACGAGACGAAACUAUGUACCACUGAUUUUCAUUGCAUUACCAUAAACUUUUACUAAUUAUUGGCUUCUUUCACAUCUCUACUUAUUAAUAGCUUGUGGUUAAUCACAAAAAGAUAAAUCUAAUAGUUUUGUAAUAUUUCUUAACGUAAAUGUAAAUUAGAUUGGUUAAUUAAAAUAUUGUAUGGUUCUCUUUCACUCAAAUUUUAAUCUUUCUUUGUUCUCCAAUGAGAGAGUCAUCUAAAGUCCGAAGUUUGGAUCUCUCUGUUCAUAUAUAUAUUUUUUUCUUUUCGUAUAUUAAAUAUAGUCUUCUAACACAAAUAUUCCUACAUAGUCUUUCUAAAAAAGUUAGUACUUCUCAUAAUUAGAAAAGUAUUUUAUACGCGUUUGGCUGGAGAUUCUAGAGUGUACUACUAGCUAUAAUAUAAUUUUUGUCAAUGAGAUUGAUUUGGGCGGCAAGGGAAUUAUAUUGAAGAAGGAGAUAUACAAGACUUGUAGAGCUUGAAAUGGUUGACCCAAGAACUUGGACCUUUUCUUCUCCAUGCAUCAGUGGUCCUCUUGCUCGUCUAGUCAGGUUUUCACAAUGAAUUAAUUACAAAAAUAACAAAAAUUUCGAUGUAGGUUAUUAUUGGCUCCAUUUUAUAGCCCAGGAUUCCUCGAACAUUCUUCUUGAUUUAGACGUUUUUAGUGUAUUAUGAUUACCGUCAUAUGAUAUUAUUAUUUUACUUAAAUUAUAAUAUAUAUAUAUAUAUAUAUAUAUAUAUAUAUAUAUUAAUAUACCUAUAAGUGUGACACGUUUGUAAAAUCAUUUUGUGAAUGACAAUGAAUUAUGCCGAGAAUAAAUGAGGGAAUAAUUAACUUGGACAAUCAAGUUAAUGAAAUUCUCUAGGACUCUCGGUGCCUUAAGGAAAUAAACAUAUUGGAGUCCUAAUUAAAUGCGAUCAAUUAUGGACCUUUAUUAAAUAAAUACAAGGAGUAAGAGUCAUGAUGGGACUUUGAUUAAUUAGAUAUGGUUUGGGUUGAUAUCCUUUCCGAUAAUAGGGAGAAAUUGGUUGAAACCCUAGCUAUAUAACGUAAGAAUAGUCCCUACUUCCAUACCAAUUGAAACUCACGAAAACUACAUGCCUAUUUUGAUAGUAGAGUUCAUUGAGAGGUACUGGAAGUAGAAAACUACUUCUACUUUAUUCACUUUGUUCGCAAGGAUCAAUAGCUUCAUCUUCAUAACCAUGUCUUCCGUAUUCCACACAUAAGUUUAAUAUAAUUAGUCGAUCUCUAUUUUAUAUUGAUUUGAUUUAUUCGUGAUCAUAAUGUCUUGUUGUUAUGAUUUCAGAAUAUGUCUAACAUGUGGUAUCAGAGCCACACAACAAGCAUAGGGUUCGGAUGAAAGAGAGCCGUGAUAUAAUUCCAUUUGGUAUGAUUCCUAUUAACUAUAAUAUAUGGACUAGUCUGGGUGGUGACUAUGGAUACUGCUACCGCUAAGCAGGAACGGAGCCAAAAAUUUCUUCUAGUGGGGGCAACUGAAAACAACUAAGAAAACCGUAUUAUAUAUGGUUAUACGCAAUAUGAUAUUAAGGAUGGUUUUAAAUGAUGAUGUAUCACAAUUCCAAUGUUACAAAAAUUUCAAUAUAGUAGUGGACAGUAGCAAAGUGAUGAGAAAAAUAUAAGUACAUGAUAGGCGGGAGGGUUUUUUUUUGUUUGAAUGACAGAACAAUAGCACUAUUGCUCAUAUAUAAUAUUUGAUAUGGAGUAUAAGUAGAAUGAAUGAAUGUUGGAUAUUAGAUACAUAUAUUUUCUUCAAAGAUAACUGUAGACAUCGAAAUUUCGGUAAAUAAAUGUUGACCGAUAAAUCAAAGUUUCGACGCUCAUGUAUUACAUAAAUUCUACACGUAGCGUAUGUCUAAACAAAAAAAUCGAAAUAAGUUGGAAAAGUCAUCAAAUAGGACACGUGUCAACAUCUGGCAUAAAUGACUUAUUUCAUCUGGAAUAUUAUAUUCAAAAUUAGGCCUUGGAAAUUUCUAUAAAUAGAAGGCUAAUUCAUUCAUUUAGGGGAACCAAAAAAUCAUUAAGUAAGCUCUGAAGCUCUGAAACUCCGAAGCUCUCAAGCAUCCAGGUUCCCGAAGAAUCAAGAAAGCUCUCUUCGUUCUUCGUUCAUCGUUCAUCCUAAGAUCAAGCCCAAACGGCCAUUUGGAUCAACAAUCAUUCACCAAUUCAAGAUCAAGCCCCGACGGCCCUUGAAGAAAGUGUUCUUCGUUCUUCGUUCAUCGUUCUUCCAAGAUCAAACCCCGACGGCCCUUGGAUCAACAAUCACCAAUUCAAGAUCAAGCCCCAAAGGCCCUUGAAGAACUUCCACCAAUUUGAGAUCAAGCCCCUACGGCCCUUGAAGAAAGUGUUCAUCGUUCAUCAUCUGUUCAUCCCGAAGAAUCAAGAAAGCCUUCUUCGUUCUUCGUCCUUCGUUCAUCGUUCAUCCAAGAUCAAGCCCCGACGGCCCUUGGAUCAACAAUCAUCCACCUUUAAGAUCAAGCCCCGACGGCCCUUGAAGAAAGCCUUCUUCGUUCUUCGUUCUUCGUUCAUCGUUCUUCCAAGAUCAAGCCCCGACGGCCCUUGGAUCAACAAGCCACCGUUCUUCAAGAUCAAGCCCAAAAGCCUUUGAAGAUCCGUUCAUCACUGUUCUUCAAGAUCAAGCCCAAAAGCCCUUGAAGAUCCGCUCAUCACCGUUAUUCAAGAUCAAGCUUUAACGGCCCUUGAAGAAACAUUCAUCCUCAAGAUCAAGCCCCAACGGCUCCUUGAAGAUCCGCUCAAAUCCACCUUCAAAGAUCAAGCCCACGGCCCCUUGAAGAAACUUCCAACAGUUCAUCCAAGAUCAAGCCUCAAUGGCACUUGGAUCAACGAAACAUCCACAAAUCAACACCUUACGGAUAUCGAAUCAGAUGAUCAAAUUUGAGAGAGAUUGUAACCCAAAAUCAUCAAAAUACAAAUAUUUGUUUGUGCACGUUGUUCUUGUCUCUUUCGUUUCAGAAAAUUUUCGUGUUCACAAAUUGGCACGCCCAGUGGGACAAUCUCUACCUCUCAUCUCUUUCUUCGUUCAAGGAAUCCAAACACACCUUAAAGUCAAUGGCAUCAAGCAAGGGACAAACCGUUCUCGCAACCACUGAGGGAAGGAUCCUAAGCACUUCUGCCGCAAACGGACAAUCCAUUGGCGCCACAACCACUCUUCAACAUGCCACUUCAAAGUUUGUGCCGUUAAAGGAGCAAGGGGAGCAUCAAAGGCGACUGUCCGUCAUCAACCUGACCUCGUUUGGGGCACCGAAGCAUGAUGCUGAGGCACACAAGAUGACAACCCAAAGCAGCCAACGACGUUCUUCAUCAGCAUCCUGGAUGUCUAAAGGAAAGUCACGUCUAUUGGUCGCACAAGUUAUGACUAUCGGCGUUACCUCCAUCGAAUAACAACUGGCUCAAAUGAAUGAAACGAUUGCAAGGCUAACACAGAUUAUGGAAGAAAAAGACUUGCAAAUCGCUGCACUCGUCAGCCGACUGGAGCCACAGGACAGCGAGAACCCUAACCCAGAAGAUAAGCCUACGGUAGAGAGAAUCAAUGUGAAGCCAGAGCCAGACCAAGCAGCGGCACUCAUGGGAUCUCUUUCUAUCCAGCAGCUGCAAGAGAUGAUCACCAACACCAUCAAGGCACAGUACGAAUGGAGCUCAAAUACAUCCGGGUUGUACUCGAAGCCGUAUUCAAAGAAGGUCGACGCCUUAAGGAUGCCGAAGGGUUAUCAACCGCCAAAGUUCAUGCAAUUUGAUGGAAAGGGAAAUCCGAAACAGCACGUUGCCCACUUUGUUGAAACUUGCAACAACGCAGGGACCGAAUGGGACUACCUCGCCAAGCAGUUUGUGCGCUCGCUAAAAGGAAACGCCUUUAAGUGGUACACGGACCUAGAGCCUGAGUCCAUCAACAGCUGGGAGCAAUUGGAGCGGGAAUUCCUCAACCGCUUCUACAGCACCCGCCGCACUGUGAGCAUGCUAGAAUUGACGAGCACAGAGCAGUGGAAGGACGAGCCAGUCAUUGACUACAUCAACAGAUGGCGCACUUUAAGCCUCGACUGUAAAGACAGGCUCUUGGAAACCUCUUCAAUCGAGAUGUGCAUCCAAGGCAUGCAAUGGGGUUUGCAAUACAUCCUUCAAGGCAUUAAACCACGGACCUUCAAGGAAUUGGCCACCGCGCCCAUAACAUGGAGUUGAGCAUCACCCAUCAUGGGAAGAAGGAACCGAUCGCCGACUACAAGAACGACAAAGAUCUUGAGACAAAGGUGGAGAAGGUUACGGGGAAAUCUACCAAGGAAGCAAUGACAGUCAACACAGCUCCCGUCAAAAUCCCUACACGAGGCAAGGCGAUUCAAGCCGAAGGCUUUCGUGAUCAAGAGAUGCGUAAACGCACUUUGAAGGAGCUUGAGGAGAAAACUUAUCCAUUCCCCGACUCUGAUGUGGUUGCCAUGUUAGAAGACUUGCUGGAAAAGAAGGUGAUCGGCUUGCCUGAGUGCAGACGGCCAGAAGAGAUGAAUCGCACCGACAGUCCAAGGUAUUGUAAAUUCCACCGCUUCAUCAGUCAUCCGACAGAAAAGUGCUUCGUGCUGAAAGAUCUCAUCAUGAAGCUGGCUCAGAAAGGAAUCAUCAAGCUAGAUCUUGACGAUGUGGUGAAGUCAAACUAUACCACCAUCACUUCUGGUUCUUCCGACUCAAAAUUUUUACCUCAACCUCCGGGGGCAUCCUUCAAGACAAGCAAAGUUGAAGGAUGGACUCAAGUCACUCCUAAGAAAUUGCACAAGAAGCAUACGUCUCCUUCACAAGUCCGCCAAUCGGAAAUGGGGCAAAACAGCUCUUGUCAACCUUCAAAGCAACGUGAACGUGUUGAAGAUGAUGAAAUUACGACACAAAGAUCGUCUGUUGCCAUCACAAUGCGCGACUUCUUACCCGAAGACUUCUUCAAUCACGCGGUCAAGGCUCCUUAUUAUGAAGAUUGUGAGGAACGCCUUUCCAAAAUUGCUUGACAAAUUCACCAAUUCUCCUCGCCCGCACGAGUCUAAACUGCAUGGCACAAAGCUUCUGGUCUGCACGAGCAUAAAAGGCAACACCAAUGCUCCUUGUUCGCACGAGCCUAAACUGCACGAACUAAAGCUCAUUGCCCGCACGAGUCUAAACUGCAUAGCACAAAGCUCCUGGUCUGCACGAGCAUAAAAGGCAACAUCAACGCUCCUGACCCGCACGAAUACUUUAUUUCUUUAAAGGAAUGAGUUAGCAGGCGGCAUGGUCAGUGUGCACGGCGACGUCACCUCCGAGGAAAGUUGCAAUAAAAGGCACUACACAGCAUAAACUCGCUGCAGUCUUUUGCACAACCCCACACGAUAAAAGCGACGUACUGGAACGAGCUCCAAGCAGCAACAGCAGUACAUUCUGGCCACCAUGCUCCAAUCGACGAGGAAACUUCAAUGACCGCCGUCAAACGACUAGCCGGUCAUAAAGCUCGACGCUUUACAUUUUUGCCUCGAGCACAAAGCAGCAAGACCGUCGACACCAACUUCGUCACUUUAGCCACCAUGCUCCAAUCGACGAAGAAACUUCAAAGACCGCCGUCAAACGACUAGCCGGUCAUGAAGCUCGACGCUUUACAUUCUGCCUCAAGCUGCAAGCAGCAACGGUAAGCAGCAAAGCUGCCAGCACCAGCUUCGUCACUCUGGCCACCAUGCUCCAAUCGACGAAGAAACUUCAAUGACCGCCGUCAAAGGACUAGCCGGUCAUGAAGCUCAACGCAUUACAUUUUGCCUCCAGCUCUAAGCGGCAAGGGCAGCAGCAAGGCUGUCAACACCAGCUUCGUCACUCUGGCCACCAUGCUUCAAACGACAAAGAAACUUCAAUGACCGCCGUCAAAUGACUAGCCGGUCAUGAAACUCAACGCAUUACAUUCUGCCUCAAGCUCCAAGCAGCAAGACUGCCAGCACCAGCUUCGUCACUCUGGCCACCAUGCUCCAAUCAACGAAAAGACUUCAAUGACCGCUGUCAAACGACUAACCGGUCAUGAAGCCUCUACUGCAGUUCUCCGUCCGUCUGCAUCCUCCCUCUGCUCAAUCUUCUGCCCAUUGCCAAGCAACAUAUGGGGGUAUUUAUAGAAAAAAAAAGAAAAGGGUGAUGAUUUAAAAAAAACAAAUAAAAUAAAAUAAAAAGAUGGUGCGGUUUGCACCAUCUAAAAAGAAAAAAUAUAAAAUAAAAAAUAAAAAAUAAAUAAAUUUAAAAAAAGGGGGUGGUGCGGAUUGCACCAUCUGAAAAGAAAAAAAAAAAAAAAAGGGGGGGAUGGUGCGGAUUGCACCAUCUAAAAAGAAAAAAAAAAGUAUAAUAAAAUAACAUAUAAAAUAUAUAUAUAUAUAAUAAAAAAUAAUAAUAAAUUAAAAAAAAGGGAUGGUGCGGAUUACACCAUUGAAAAGAAAAAAAAUAAUAAUAAAAAAAUAAUUAAAAAAAAGGGGGGAUGGUGCGGAUUUGCACCAUUUGAAAAGAAAAAAAAAUAUAAUAAAAAAAAUAUAUAUAAUAUAUAUAUAUAAAUAAAAUAAAAUAAAUAAAUAAUAAAUUAAAAAAACAGGUGAUGGUGCAGCUUGCACCAUCUGAAAAGAAAAAAAAAGAUAUAAUAAAAUAAUAUAAGAAAUAUAUAUAUAUAAAAAUAAAUAAAUAAUAAAAAAAAGGGAUGGUGCGGAUUGCACCAUUGAAAAGAAAAAAAAUAAUAAUAAUAAAAGGGGGGAUGGUGCGGAUUGCACCAUCUGAAAAGAAAAAAAAAUAAUAUAAAAAUUAAAAAUUAAAAAUAAAAAAAUAAAUUAAAAAUUAAAUAAAUUAAAAAAUUAAAAAAAAGGGAUGUUGCGGAUUGCACCAUAUGAAGAAAAAAAAACAAAUGCAUUGAGAGAAAUAAAGUCCAUUUCAUUGAUUUCUCUGGAAAAAAUUACAGACGGAACAUUUACAUACCAAAAAAAAAAAAAAAAAAAAAAGGUGCAAACAAACAAAAGCCUUCAUUGAUCAGGUGGCACCUCAUCACUCGGCGGAACUCCAGGCAGAAGAGGAACCGGAGGUUGAUCAUUUGGAGCUUCAUUACGCGGUAUAGCCCCAAAAGACGAAGGCAAAUGCUGUUGGAACAAACCCACAAACCUUUGAUGAUCAAGUAAAAUCUGACCAUCAGAUUCCUGCAUCUGGUUAAUCUUCCUCUUCAUGUUUGUAGCAUAGCUAUGUGCAACAGUUUAUUCUCAUGCUUAAGCCCCCUAAUCUCCUGUUUGAGACUCAUCACUUCAGCCGCCAAGGAUUCAACUUGACGGGUUCGAGCAAAUAGGCGUUGGGCCAUAUUAGACACAGAACCUACACACUGCACACUAAGAGCCAGAGAAUCCUUAACAGCCAACUCAUCAGACCGUUUGGAAAGUAGUCUGUUAUCUCUGGAGUGACAAGGUUCCGGGCCACCACCGCAGCGGUCAUAUCAUUCUUCAUCACCGAAUCCCCAACGGUAAGAGGACCAGUAGGGGAUAUGAAUGAUGGGCGCCAUAUGUUGUCUGGAGAAGGCGGGACUGCCUCUUCACCAAGGUUCAAAUCAAGACAACGGUCGGAGGGUCCAGACAUUUUCAAAGGUGUUGAAGAAAGAAGAAGUCGGACAAAUCAAGAUCUUAGAAGUGCAAGAAGAGAGUUUUCUACAAGCAAAAAAUUCAAGUGUGCUUUGAAACGAAGUGCGUGCCUUUAUAAAAAUCAACACUCGACGGGAUUUCAGAAAUUGAAGAAGCGAGCUCAGAAUUCGAAGAGGCCAAUUCAAAAAUCGAAGAGGCAAGCUCAGAAAUCGAAGAAGCAUCUUGCUUUUCCAGACGCGUUAGCACCCGUCACGCGCAAACUCAGCUUUACAGAAAUCACGGGCAAUUUGUUAAAGCGUCAAUCCCAGAUAUCGAAGAGGCGCCAGUCUUUUUCAGCCUCGUCAGCACUCGUCAUGCGCAAACUCAUCUUUGCGGAAAUCACAGGCAAUUUGUCGAAGCGCCAAUCCCAGAUAUCGAAGAGGCGCCAGUCUUUUUUCAGCCUCGUCAACACCUGUCACAUGCACACUCAGCUUGGCGGAAAUUACGGACAAUUUGUCAAAGAUUUCUGAUAAAGAAGAAAGCACGUGAAGCCAUACCGAUCAAUCACGCAUUGGUUGCCGACACGAGUGAAAGAAUAAUACCUCUACAAGUAUUAAAAGACUUCCUAUAACUGUCCACCUUCACCUUCCAUAGCAAGGCAGACAUACAUAACCUUUCUUCAUCUCCGAGAACCUUUCUUCAUCUCCGAAAACCUCUCUUCAUCUCCGAGAACCUUUCUUCAUCUCCGAGAAUGCUUUCCCAACGAAGCCUCUCGAGUUACUCAGUGUUUCUUAUUCCUUGGGGUACCUCUGCAAACAAAUGACACCAAAGCAAAAGUAUCUCAUAUGAACAGGGUAGAAAGCAAGAGUAUCUCAUAUCAUGCUUUCUCCUCGUCCUUUCCUUUGUCCUUGUUCUUACCUGCAAAGACAAGGAUAAAGAAAACAAUAUGCCGGAACCUCCACUCAAACUCGGGUAAGGAACCGACUGCUUGGAACCCUUCACUGAUUGCCUACUUAGCACUGCUCUCGAGUACUCGUCUCUCACUGCUGCUGUACUUCCAAAGAAGCUGCCACAUCUGCCUGAAGAACAGAUAAGGCAAGUGAAAAUGAUACCUUGCAGCAUGUGGAAACAACGUGCAGAAGAAACAAGCAGAGAAGAAUGCAGCCUGCAUAGUCAACUUAGCAGAAGGAGUCUGAGAUGAGGAACUCGAGAAAAUGCCACAUCUGCCUGAGGAACAGAUAAAGGAAAUGAAAAUGAUACCUUGAAGCAUGUGGAGACAAGUGCAACAAAGCACGUGCUGAUUCAUCCGCUACUUCUUCAAAAUCAAAAGUAUCUCAUAUCAUCAGGGUUGCAAUCACUCUGGACGGUGAACUCGUUUUGACCCUCAAAUUCUUGGGUCGACUUACUAGGCGUUGUGGACUGCAUGUGCCGUUUCACCACCCUUGAAUCAAAUCCUUAAAGAUCAAGUCACCAACUGGAAGAAGAGCCCAUCAAUCUUGAAGAUCAUACCGUUGACCAAACUGCUCAGGUGUGAAUUAGAAAGAUUGAACAGAGCAACAAGUCGUCACCUUCACCUCGUGCCUGCUUGUCAUGUGUUCGAGUCAACCCUCAAGAAUCAAGCUUUAACGGCUCUUGAAGAAGCUUCCAGCCAAAUUCAAAAUCAAGCCUCGACGGCCCUGGAAAAAAUCACAAGACCGAUUCAAGAUCAAGUGUCCACCACCCUUGAAUUAAACCCAGUUCAAGAUCAAAGCUGUGGAAAGUCAACAAGCGCAAAAAACAAAUAUGUGCUAAUUCAUCCACUACCAAAGCCAAAGAUCAUCUACCACAUGAAGCUCUUUGUGGUCCAAAUUCAACCUUCAAGAUCAAGCCUCAACGGCCCUUGAAGAAAUCUCAAGCCCAAUUCAAGAUUAAGCCUCAACGGCCCUUGAAGAAAUCUCCAGCCCAAUUCAAGAUCAAGCCUCGAUGGCCCUUGGAUCGACAUCUACAGUAAGGGACUUCAAAACGCAUCUCCUACACGUGACAAGCACAUGUAUACGACACGCCUUGAAGUGGGGGCAUUUGUAGACAUCGAAAUUUCGGUAAAUAAAUGUUGACCGAUAAAUCAAAGUUUUGACGCUCAUGUAUUACAUAAAUUCUACACGUAGCGUAUGUCUAAACAAAAAAAUCGAAAUAAGUUGGAAAAAUCAUCAAAUAGGAUACGUGUCAACAUCUGGCAGAAAUGACUUAUUUCAUCUGGAAUAUUAUAUUCAAAAUUAGGCCUUGGAAAUUUCUAUAAAUAGAAGGCUAAUUCAUUCAUUUAGGGGAACCAAAAAAUCAUUAAGUAAGCUCUGAAGCUCUGAAACUCCGAAGCUCUCAAGCAUCCAGGUUCCCAAAGAAUCAAGAAAGCUCUCUUCGUUCUUCGUUCUUCGUUCAUCGUUCAUCCUAAGAUCAAGCCCAAACGGCCAUUUGGAUCAACAAUCAUCCACCAAUUCAAGAUCAAGCCCCGACGGCCCUUGAAGAAAGUGUUCUUCGUUCUUCGUUCAUCGUUCUUCCAAGAUCAAACCCCGGCGGCCCUUGGAUCAACAAUCACCAAUUCAAGAUCAAGCCCCAAAGGCCCUUGAAGAACUUCCACCAAUUCGAGAUCAAGCCCCUACGGCCCAUGAAGAAAGUGUUCAUCGUUCAUCAUCCGUUCAUCCCGAAGAAUCAAGAAAGCCUUCUUCGUUCUUCGUCCUUCGUUCAUCGUUCAUCCAAGAUCAAGCCCCGACGGCCCUUGGAUCAACAAUCAUCCACCUUCAAGAUCAAGCCCCGACGGCCCUUGAAGAAAGCCUUCUUCGUUCUUCGUUCUUCGUUCAUCGUUCUUCCAAGAUCAAGCCCCGACGGCCCUUAGAUCAACAAGCCACCGUUCUUCAAGAUCAAGCCCAAAAGCCUUUGAAGAUCCGUUCAUCACUGUUCUUCAAGAUCAAGCCCAAAAGCCUUUGAAGAUCCGUUCAUCACCGUUAUUCAAGAUCAAGCUUUAACGGCCCUUGAAGAAACAUUCAUCCUCAAGAUCAAGCCCCAACGGCUCCUUGAAGAUCCGCUCAAAUCCACCUUCAAAGGUCAAGCCCACGGCCCCUUGAAGAAACUUCCAACAGUUCAUCCAAGAUCAAGCCUCAACGGCCCUUGGAUCAAUGAAACAUCCACAAAUCAACACCUUACGGAGAUCGAAUCAGAUGAUCAAAUUUGAGAGAGAUUGUAACCCAAAAUCAUCAAAAUACAAAUAUUUGUUUGUGCACGUUGUUCUUGUCUCUUUCGUUUCAGGAAAUUUUCGUGUUCACAAUAACCCAUGUAUAUUAUAUAAUUGUAGUCUGCAACUAAACAAACGAAUUACUUGAGUGGAGGCGUUUGCCCCCAGUGAACCUUCAUUGGCUCCAUCCAUGCCGCUAAAUAGUAUUCAUGAAAUUUUAUUUUUCCCUUUUGGCUCUCGCUUAAUUAUUAGGAAUGGGUUUGUUUUGCUUUCAUGGAUAAGGCAUAAAGAAGUGAGUAUUUUCAGGUUUCUUUGUCUCCUAUAAUCCCUAAAAUUAAGAUAAAUAAAUAAAUAAAUAAAUAAAUAAAAUAUAUAUAUAUAUAUAAUAUUGGUUCGACUAAUCAUGCUCUAGUGAUAUGAUUCUGGUUUUUUUUUUCUUGCUUCCGCUUAUUGCCUUUAAAUUUUUAAAUUUGGUAAGUUUGCUUGUAUUCAUAUUAUUUUGAGUUGAUGGAUCAAAUUGACCUUAUGGAUACUGACUUCCUGGGUGAGCCAUUGUAUAGGAUUUCAUGAUUUAAAAUUCUGAAUUUGGAUGCCAUGACACUAACAUGUUUUAGGCAGGCACACAUGUUCAUUCAUAUCUUGGAUGAAUGUGUGAACUCAGUCUGCAUAAAUUAGAAAGGUUUGAGAACCCUUUUCAAUUCCCAAAUCUUGCGAUCCUAAGGAGAUUGAGCUAUAUGUACAUAUAAUAUCUCGUUCACAUGUUAAGUUUUUAUGCCCAGAAUUGGGGUUGUGAGGAUUUUCUUCAAUCACUUUUAAUUGUCGUUUGUUCUAAUCUGCUGCAUAAUUUUGAGUAAUGGAUUAAUAAAUCAAAUUUUUCCUUCAUUUGAUAUAUGUAAUUAGAUUUCAGUUCAUGUCUACUACAUUUGUCCUUUGUGUUUACUGAUAUUCGUCUUCAAACAUAAAAUUAGAUAACUUGAGACCCAAUUGAUUUUGAGAAAUUCCUCAAAUACACACAUUAAUGCCGUGGCCAUUUUGGUUUCACUUUUGAAGUGUUUUCUUAUCUUAGAAGUGAUUUUGAUAUAUCACAAUGGACAUGCUAAAGGUUGUUUUAAAAACAAGACUAUGAUGUUCUAUUUUUGUUUCUGAUCUUGAUAGACUUCCAUAACUCCAAAUAUUAUGAAAUUUUGUCAUUUUGUAAUAUCGAAUGAAUUAUAGACGCUGGUAUUUUUUUCUCAUUUUUUUUGACAAGAAAUGAAUUUAUGGUAAAUUUGAAGUGUUACACUAUGUUGCUGGAAUUCUGCACCAUAGUCUAUUUGUGACAGUAUUUUGAUAUAUUAUAUAUAUAUAUAUAUAUAUAUAUAUGUAACUCAUAAAUUCAGGAACUUUUAGUAUGAUAUACAUUGAGAUGUUUAUUUCAGGUCUGGAAAUUUUCAUGCACAUUGGUUUGAAAAUGACUUAUUGGUGAAUUUUUAACCUCGGGACUAUACUGCAGAAUUUACGCAGCUUCUGCAGCACAUUCCAUUUCGAUUUUAUUUUUAGCCCACUUUUAAGAUUGCAAAAAUUAUGGAACUUUGGGUGACAGUAAAUUUAUAUGUCUACUUCAUUUCUGGAAAUUUUCAUAAACAUUGGAGAAAAAAUUGAAUUUUUGGUGAAUUAUUUAGUCUCGGGUACGUACUGCAGAAGUUUUGCCGUUUCUGCAGCACAUCCCAUUUCUAAUUUUCUUUUAGUACACUUAUAAAAUCUCAAAAAUUAUGAAAUUUUGGGAAAUAACAUCUUUGUAUGUUUCCUUAUUUUUGAAAAUUUUCAUGCAUAUUGUCACAACCCGUCCCAAAAUAUUUUAUCAAUGGUGUGAAUUGACCAUUCUACCCUUAAGCGUUUCGUGGUGUUGUGUAGAUUGGACUAAGGAAAUAGGGGCCAAUUAGCUUUAUUCCUAAUUAAUUGGACCCAAUUAAAACUUAAGGACUUAAGGUUUGUUUUGAUUGGUGACCCAGCUGGACCACACACACUCACACAAACCCUUUCCCGUUGACCUUCUCUCUCUCCUUCCCUUGUAUUUUCUACCAUUUCCGUACACUUGUAUGGACAACACCCAAACCAGACCCUAUCUUCGCAGAUCGACGUCAAGGAGGUUGUUUUUGUGUUCCUCAUGAGUCCAGGUGGUCAUCCAUGCCCUUAGUUUGACGUGAAGACCUUGUUUUCCGAGAACCAGAAAUCCCAGUUUUGAUACAAUGUUCAUACACUUGUGAUUUCAAAGUUUUUAGGAGAUUUUAAGCUGCUAGUGAGCUUUAGGACAUCUUCACGAAGCUCGGAGAAGAAAAACGAAGUGUUUUGGACGUCGGGAAGUUGAGUUUGGCAAGUUUCAAGUUUGGCCGGAUUAUCGAUCGUUCUCCGAUGAAAUCCCGUGGAUUUUAGGGCUUUAAAUUGGUAAGGUUUUGCUCUUCUCGUUGUAAGCUUCAUUUUGGUACAAAUUUCAUGGAUUUUGGUAUAAAAAUGAAAAAGAUAUGAAGGUUCUUAUAUUUUCCAGUUUCCGGCAAUCGCAGCGGCGCCGGCGAAAUUCUCCGACAAACCAAGGAAGAUGAAGGAGAAUAUUCCAUCAAGUCUAAUAGAAUAUUCUAACGGCGUCAGGUAACACCGUUAACUUCUUUUAAGAUUUAACGGAAUGUUCCUAACGGCAGUUAAGUUUCAGUUAGGGUUUGGCCGCUCGUGGGGGGUGCGUCUGGCCGUGCCUUGGCCGGCGUGUGGGAGGUUGAAAAUUUUUCUAAAAAUAUGGGGAUGUUCCUGAGGAUGAGUAGAUCAUGGUGGUAUAUUCAAAUACCCCAUUUGAGCAAUGUAUGAAAAGUUAUUUUCUAGUUUGUGUAUGUGCUUUAAAUAACAUUUAUUCAGUUAUUUCGCAUAUAGGUGAGAACUAUCCUGAGGACGAGCGCCAUCAAUCGAGGCUUGGGGGCUACGACCCUUCGACAUACCAGUGAGUGGGCUUUUAGUUUUUCAUAUAUACCUAUAUACUUGAGAUUUUUCCUAGAAAAUGAAUUUGAAUGAUUAUACGUUUUGAAAUGCCAUGCAAAGUAUCCGCCUAUUUUAUUUAUGCAUUAGUAGUUGCAUGUAAUUAUGAUUAGUAGUUGCAUGUAAUUAUGUGAGAGAUGAUGUGAUGUUUUGAGAGCUCAUAAACUUGCACCUCGGUGUUAGUGUUCCCGCCCAGAGUUAAGGCACAGUCCUUCACGUGAUGUUCACCUCCCGCACCAUAUGCUCACCUUGGAUCCAAUUUAGGUGCACAGGCUUGUCGUACAUACCACUUUAGGUGGUUCCGACUCGUAGGUGACCCGCGAUCAUUCGCACAGCCUCCAUGUGAUUGUAGCACUAGAGCAUAUUUACUUUACACCUAGUCUUGUCGUACAUACCACUUUAGGUGGUUCCGACUCGUGUGCAUGAUUUGAUUGAUAUGAUUGAGAUUGGUUAUGAGCUAUAUACUCAGCCAUGCAGAUUGAUUUAGAGGGAUUUGGCUGAUGCGAUAUUUGACAUUGAUAUGUUUUGCUUGGAUUACUUAUAGCAUUGCAUUGAGAUACUUUGGCAUGGUAUACUUCUAUGGAUUUUCAUCUUGAAUAUAAUUUCUGAUACAACCUAUUAUUAUUAUUAUUAUUAUUCUAGGAAGUUAUACAGGUUUUACAGCGAGGGGUUAGAACUUUUGAGAAAUGAAAUGAUUUUGAAAAGUUUUGUUUUUGCCCACUCACACUUUCUGUUUUGAGCCCAUCCAGGUUUUAGGUAGAAGUGCUUUGAUGGAUCACGAAGAUUUCGACGGGGGUUCUGACAGAACAUCAUAAAUGUAGGAUCACCCUUGAAUGUUUUAUAAUUAGUACUUAUCCUGCUUGAUUGCACUUAGACUAUUUAUGCUCUGGUUAUGUAUUUCACACUUAAUCUCGCACUAGCACUCUAUCUUAGCUAGUACUGCUAGUAGUUGGUUUUUAUUCAGUCGUAUUUCCCUUGUAUCUCUUUUGCUUCCGCACUGUGCACAUGGUUACGUCACUCUCACGUGAUGACCAGCAUGCCUUGAUUUAGGUCGAGGUGUGUCACAUAUCGGUUGAACAAAGAAUAUUUAGUGAUAUUUUAAUCUCAGGUAGCUAUUGGAGAUUUUGUAUAGUUUAUAUAGCACAUCUUUUUUUCGAAUUUGUUUUUUUUUUUACUCUCUUGUACAAUUUAAAAAUCAUGAAAUUUUUCAAAAAAAGUAGUCAUAUAUGUCUAGUGCAUACCUAAAAAUUUUUACGACAAUCUAAAGAGAAUUGAGUUUUUAGUGAAUUUGCAAGCUAAAGUAGUACUAAUGAAUUUUGGCACUUCAAAACUAGUUUUGUUAUGUGAUAUUGUUUCACUGAUUUGUGCACAUCUAUUAAUACCGAUUAUUGUACAAAUUUAUGGGUCCAAUAUGUUCUUAUUUUAUGCAAAUUCUCAAUAAUAAUGGCUUUUAUUAGAUAACAUUGAUUAAAUUUUGAUUUAAAGAUGUAUUGGUUUAUUUUGCUUAAACCAAUGUUUUUUGUUUGGUCAUCAAUUUUGAUUAUGAUGAUAAUUGUCUUUUGAGAUAAAAUUGGAAAGUGGCAUCAGUUUACUAAUUGAUCAUUUUGAUCCCUAUCGAAUAACUGAAUAACCAUAUUUCCUCUUUUGAGAACUCUAUUGUCCAAUGUCAAUAACGACAUACUUUUGUGUUUGAUUUAAUCUUUUGAGAAUUAUUGAAUAUCCAACAAAACGGUUAUUUAAUAUUGUUCUAAAGGAUUAUUUUGAAAAAUCAGAAUUCUAAUUUAUAUGGUGAAUACUUUUGCCCAAUGGAAAUUUUAGGAAAUCACUCACCAAUUAUAAAUUAGUACUAUAACAAAUCAUAAAGUACUUCCAACAUAUUUUCAUAUGGCCAAAACUAUUGAAACUAUAUGUAUUUUGUGUAUUUUAUGUUUUGGCAAGCAAUGCAGGUAUUUUUCACAUGAUUUGUUUAUGCCCAAAUGUGUAACAAUCAUGCAAUUUGCAGUUGGUUCGACGAUUCUCCAAAACUCGAUUACAUCCAUUGUGUAUUUUGCAGAAUCAAGAACGAAAUAGGUAAAUGUGUCAAUCUUUUGCCUUAAUUUUCUCUGGCUUCUAAAUUAAUUAAUAUAUGGGUACAAAUUAAAACUAAAAAGAAAAUUGGUACAAAUUAAAAAAGGUUUGCAAAUUAAAAAUGGGUACAAACUAAAAAUAAAAAUAUAUGAUAAAAAAUUUAGCCAUAAAUAUAAAUAUACUAAUUGUAACAUUUUUAACACUAAAUGAAUAUUUUUAGGUAAAAAUAUUUUAUUAUUGAAAUAAUUAAUGAUAUUAUUAAUACCUAAGGACCUUGAUAAAAAAUUGAAAAUGAAUAAGGUUUUAAUCAAUGAAAUAGCAAAAUGAGGGAUGAGAACCUAAUUUCUCCUUGUAUAUACUUCAUAUGCUCAAAAGUGUUGAAACUAUAUUGUAACAUCUCACAUUGCCCAGGGGAGUGGAUCAUUUAUGCCUUAUAUGUAUAUUCUCAUCUCUACCUAGCACGAGGCCUUUUGGGAGCUCACUGGCUUCGGGUUCCAUCGGAACUUCGAAGUUAAGCGAGAUCGCAGCGAGAGCAAUCCCAAGAUGGGUGACCCAUUCGGAAGUUCUCUUGUGAGUUCCCAGAAACAAAACCGUGAAGGAGUGGUUGGGGCCCAAAGCGGACAAUAUCGUGCUACAGCAGAGUCGAGCCCGGGAUGUGGUGGGUGUCCGGGCCGAGAUGUGACAUAUAUACGUUUGCCCUUGUAUUUUAUGUUUUAAUAUAAUUAGUUGAUCUCUAUUUUAUAUUGAUUUGAUUUAUUCGUGAUCCUAAUGUCUUGUUAUUGUGAUUUCAAAAUAUGUCUUACAUCGUUCUCCAUAAUUUGUACUGUAAUGAGUUUGCAUCUUCGAGAGGACCACCAAAAACAAAACUUAAUCUGGUGAAAAUAUAGGUAAUCCAUAAGGAAACUACAUUUUUAAUUAAUUCUUUCUGAUUUUUUUUACAUUUAAUAAAUACAUGUAUAGCUUCAAACUAAACUAAUUAACAACCAGUAGCCAAAAAAGAUUUGAUUGCACCAAACAAAAAUGAUGUUUCCUGAAUUAAAAAGAGUAGUAAAGAUUAAACAAAAACAAAUAUUUUGUUCAAAUCUCAUAUAGAUUGAAGCCUGCUACCCGAAAUUUGUGGAGGUUCAAAUCGAGUAACCGGCACAGAUGAGUUAGAUGAGCAUUAGUGCAGCAUAUAGAGAAACGUAAGUUCGAUGAUUUGACUCACUACCAACCUAACAUGCAUGAUGCAAAAGCUUUGACACAAUUUGUCCUUCUGAUUCGUCCACAAUAUCUUCAUUUGUGAACUAAUUAAAAACUUAAACGAGCUAAUAGCUAGGUAUGUAAACAAGGCAUGAUUUAUUUUCGUAGGGAGAUUCGAGAAGCUAGAUUUGCCACCCAACUAAUUCUUAAUUACUAAUUCCUAAAUAAUUAAGAGACUAUUAUUGUGUGACAACUGACAAGUUGUUGAAGAGUAGUGCAUGUAAAGUUUCUAACCUAAAUCCUUACGUAAAAUCAACAAACCAAAGUAAUUAUAUUACUAAUUUUGGUGCUAGAUCGAUGUAGGUGUAUCUAAUUAACUAACAUUUGUUGAAGUUUUUUUUUUGUGAAAAUUUACUUAUUACUCAUUUGUCCCACAUUGGUCAAGUUGAAACCUUUCUCACACUUCGUAAUACUUUGUCAUUCUUACCAAGUGAUUGGUAAAUGGAUUUUGGAGAGGAAAUUUGGGCUUAAACCUUUGGUUUGUGUUUUGGAGUGUGAUAAUUAAUAUAUAUAACACAAAAAAUGCAUCUCUCCUACUAAAAUCCCACAACCUGAGUAAGGACGAAAUUCUCUUUCAAAAACAUUGCGGUACGCAAGCCUCGAUCAUUAUAUUGUUUGUUUAAUAUUAAUUUCGUUCAUAUAUAUUCAGUCAAUAUACUUAGUGGCAAUUUAUUGUUUAUUAGCAUAUAAUACUUGUAUAUUAUAUAUAUAUAUAUAUAUAUAUAUAUAUAUUUGUCAUUGAUUAUUGAUAAAUAAUCAAAAAAUUUGUGUUAGCUUAAGCUCAUUCUUUUACUGCCUGUGAGAUAAUAUGACCAACUACACGAGGACUACAUAGUAUCAACAAAUGUAUGGUUAAAUUGACAAAAUAAAAUACGAUAUAUAAUAAACUGUUGUAGAAUGUAUUGCAUAAUGUAUCGAAUAACUGCUCGAAAAAUGCAAUUCAGUUGUAAAGUCCAAGCAUUGCAGAUUUGGACUCUAGUGUUCUAUCUGAAGGCAUGACCCAUCAUAUUGCCACACUUUGCCAUGUUGUCGGACAUCAUUAGAGAUGUUAUGAUAUUCCACAACUUGAUUAAUUAAAAUUGUGAUCGGAUAACUUUAUUGUAAUAUGAUUUGUCUAGGAAAGACUCAAGUUUUGAAGUUAGCCAUCUACUUUCAUUAUCUUUAACGAAUGGAUAAUAUAUUAUAAAGGUGUAAUUUCUUUAAUUAAGCAAGUAGGUUUGUGUGGGUUGUCUUGAAAGCAACUUAGUUGUUCAUGAAGAACGAUUAGGAGCAUAAACCACCGUGCCUACCGUAAAGGAUGGAACUAGAAAUUUCGUUUAGUGGGGGAAGAUAAAAAAUAAUAUUACCAAACUUAUUAUCUUAUGGCUCAUACCCAAAUUGAUGAUGCGGAUGAUAUCAUAUGCUAUGAUGUAUCACAAUUUUAAAGGGACCUGGAUUGUCUGCUCUCCCCAUCCAAUACAAUUCCCGUCCUCUUGUAUUUAUGUGGUUACGGUUAAACCACGUCAACAUUUUAUAUUGAUUUUUUUAUAGAAAUAAUAAGCAAAAAGCAAUGAGAAUAUAAAAUGUUGACGUGGCUUAACCGUGAUCACAAAAAUAUGAAGGAAUGAGAAGAGUAUGAGAUAGGGGAGGGCAGACAAUCCAAGUCGAUUUUAAAGUUAAAAAAGUUUCAUUCUAGUAGUGAAAAAGUGAAAGUGAGAGAAAUAAUACAUGAGAGGCAAAAGAACAACUUUCUCUCUCUACUUCAUUAUAUUCUUCUUCAUCUUUACAAUAUAUUUGUUCAAAUAUAUACAACUGCAGGCUGCAGCUUAAGAUCGAAAUUACUUGAUUGGAAGCAGUUGCUCCGAGUGGACCGCUUCAUCCAGCGGCCCUACUGGUCACUACAUGGGUAGUACUGCAGCCUCCUUAUCCCUGCAAAUGUACGUGCACAUGUAUGAAAUAAGUUAAUUGUACUUAAUUUUUUGUAUUACUAGUGGUUUUUUAUCUAUCAAAAUAGCAAAUUUGGACUACAACAGUACAUUAAAAACAUUUACAAGACAACAAAAGAAACAACUUAACAAAAUAUAUUAGCUAUGUAGGGUUUGCGUGUAUGUGUAUUAUUGAUUAACAUCAAUGUCAUUUUCAUUAUUCAAUUACAAAGAAUUUUUCUUCUGAAUUUUUUUUUCUUCAUUUAACAAGCGAUAGUGAAAAUGAAAAUGAUUGAACCUCGCUAGGACUUCCAAUGUGGCGACCACUUGAGCUAUAAAUUUAUUUUCUUUUCUUCAUUAAUAUUAUGUUUCACAAAAGUAUAAAAUAAUAUAGAGACUGGUGGUUCUCAUUCAAGGUAUGGCCAUCCAUUUCACCUGCCUUUUGUGUUACAUAAUACUAAUUGUCAUAAACAUUAGACGGUCUGAAUUUAUAAAAUCAAAUAAUUUGAAAGUUCAUAUCAUUCCAUACUCGUAACAUUUAAUGUUAUAUAUAAACGAAGAAAGUGAAAAGUAUGAAAUGAUAUAUGAAUGGCCAAUGAACAGUGCUUUUCUUCGGUCGUCUUUCCAUCUUUGGGACCAAGAAAGCAACUUCUAGUUGAUUAGAUGGAAAAAGAAAAGAUUUCUAAAGAACACGUAUUAUAUUUAAAUAGUACUCUUAAUAAAUAUUUCUUUUUUGUGAUGUCGACUAGUAAAUUAAGCAAAAAGAAAGAAAAAGAAUAUUUGAUUUCCUUUUUCUUUUUAUCAAAGUGAAAAAGAAGACAAUUAUAAGUCACUACUCACUAGCAAACUUAUUAUGAAAGUGAAAAGGCAUGAAUGUAUUAUGCUCCAGAAGUCAUGCGUGCCUAAAACAUUACCCCACUUCCAUUAUUUGAUUUUCUUUUUCUUUUCAUCAAAUUGUAUUCUAUUUUAUUUGCCAAAGUCUGGGGUGUUUCCCACUUCGAAAAAUAGGGCUAAUCUUCAGUAAAUUCCAAAGGAAAAAGAUUCUUUUAUCUUCUUUUGUUUCUUCCCUUGCUUUUCUUUCUAUUUGAACGGUUAUAGUUAAAUCACGUCAACAUCUUAUAUUAAUUUUUUAUAAAAAGAGAAAGACAAAAUAGAGAGCGUGAGUAGGGGAUGGAAGGAGAUGGAAAGAGGAGGGAAGAGAAUCCUAGUUCAAUUCUAAAACAGAUAAAAACAUUUCAGUCCACCCUUUACAAAUUGCACUAUUUGAUUUCAACUUUGUCAUAUUUGUUGUAAUUUUUUUAGUCCAAUAUCGAUAUUAUCUAUACUAAGGAUUUAGGGAGUGGUAUUGCUAACGUGAUUCAAAUUCGCUUUUGACAAGAAUCAAACUUAAAACCUCUCACUUACAAAUGAAGAUGAAUAUUUUCAAACCGUAUUAUUAAAGGACCAUAUUUAUUGCAAUUAGACCGCUUGGUUAUGUCGACAUCUUUGCACGAUUUGUCAAACAACCCAUUUGGUUUAUUGGGCAUAUGUCUACACUAUGGGGUAAAAAAGGGAGUUAAUCCUUACAAUGAUUAGAUAAAAUGUAUUUCAAUUUAUUUUGACCAAAAUCAAACAUAAAAACUCACAGUCACAUAUGAAGAGGAAUAUCACUAUAUCGUAAUAUUAAGUGACAAUUUUUUAGAAUACUUAAACACAGUCACACGUAUCUAUCUUGUGUCAUUUAAAUAAUAAUUUAAAAGUGAAAUUAUCAAUUUUGUCAUUUAUCUUUAUUAUGAAACAUGAAAUAAUAUACUGUGUAGUUUGUGUUUCUGUAAUCAUAAAAAUUUAUGCAUCAUGGGGUACGUAUAGUUGGUGUGUGCAAAUAUUAAAACAGAGUUGAGAAUCUUCAUAAAUAAAUAAUAGGGGUUUAAGUGCUUUUGCUGCAAGCACUUACAUGAUUUUAGCACCGCUUAAAUUUGGACAAUUGUGAGGACCAGGAGCAUGGUAUGCAACUGCAAGAAUUGUGAGAGCUCCAUGUGUCCCCCCAGCACAAUGCAAGUGUGCCACAUACACCUUCCCUCCCAUUUGCAGGGUCCCCAGAUCGAUUCCAUUCUCGGAAUAAUCAAAAGACAUCACAUGAUCUUCUCUAAACACUUUGUAGAUCUCAACUAAAUUAAAAUAUUUUAAUAAACCCCCCUUUUUCAAUUGUUACAUGAAAUUUACUUUACAGUUUGGUAUUUUCAUAUAAUUGGGGCACACGUAGGGGCACGUAAUAGCUUGUGAUUCAACAACACUUUGUGUUUAUAAUUUUAAUUAUUUAGAUACGUGUCUAUCAGAUUGCUUAAGGGAAGGGAUUCCCAUUUUUUGAAAAAAAUGGGGAUUAGGUGUGGGGCCCACUCCACAUCGAAUUUCAACGAUUUGAACCGUCUAUUUUGUUAGUCUCGAUUCAUAGAUCAUCCUUGCAAAAAUUCAAUUCAAUCCGAAACCGUUUGCCUAUUUAAUUAUCAAUAUCAAAUUUCAUUUUUUCUUAUAUAACAAAGUAUUUGUUCAUUUCCUUAAACCCAAUUAGAUGUCUUAAACAUUUCCGAUUUAGCUAAUAUUUUGUAAGGAUGAUCUAUGAAUCGAGACUAACAAAAUAGACGGUUCGGAUCGUUGAAAUUCGAUGUGGAGUGGGCCCCACACCUAAUCCCCAUUUUUUUCAAAAAAUUGGGAUCCCUUCCCUUAAGCAAUCUAACGUGUCUAUUUAUGAUUGAGUAAAAAUAAAAGUUGUUAAAUUUAUAGCAACCAAGUAGUGUUCCACAUAAUUUCUUGAAUGAAUAACAAUACAUCCUAUUAUUUUUUUUGUUUACAAACCAAUGACAUGAAUCAGUUGUUCAUACUUACACAUGCUUAACUAUUUCAAAAGUGAGACAUUUCAUGAACUCUUUGUCACCUUAUGUUUUAACAUAAUAUUUUAUAAUGUUGGCACGGUAACGUUAAAUUGCGAGAUGACUUAUAAUUCAUAUAAAGUCUCACUUUCAUCUAUGCUACACAAGACAUGUUAAGGGAAUUCUGUCCAAAGUGGAACUCUUCAUAAACUCUCUACCACUUCACAGUUUAACGUCUACUCUCCUACCAACAUUAUAAAGUAUUGUGUCUGUUGAUGCACAAAAUCAGUGGGGACUUUGGUACAACAGAAAGUGUUAAGUUUGUGACCUUAGCUAGAUUGAUCCGGUCACUAGUGUGGAUAAGUAUGUAAAUGGAUAGAGACAGGGAAGCAAACACAAGAUGUACGUGGUUCACCCAGAUUGGCUACGUCCACGGAGUAGAGGAGUUCUCAUUAAUUGUGAGGGGUUUACACAAGUACAUAGGUUCAAGCUCUCUUUUAGUGAGUACUAGUUAAUGAUUUAGUACAAAUGACAUUAGGAAAUAUUGUGAGAGAAUCAUCUAUAUUUAUAGAAGAGAGUUUCUAGUUUCAUUCUGACAUUGACACGUGUCAUGUUGUGAUUGGCUUCUGAUGUUGACACGUGUCGCGCUAUGAUUGGCUUCUGAUGUCGACAAUGUCGCGCUGUGAUUGACCUCCUGGUUGGAGGGAAACUCUUCUAGGUCCUUGAUAGUAUAACGUUGACCGGUGCUCAGUAGUUUCGGGAUUAGUCAAGUAUGGUACAAACAGUGCUCCCCUAAGUUCUCGAGUGAAGGAAGUUCCUCGGUUGAGGACUUGCAAGAUCCAAGCCAUUGAGUAAUCACAAAACUUCUAAGUACCGAAGUGUGGUAUCAUUUUCACUUGCCUUAUGUGUCUCAUACGUAGAUGUGACAUUUUCUCUGGAAGUACUUUUCCUCCAUCCAGGGGUGAUAUCUUUAACCGAUGAAGAUGCACAAGGUAAUGUAUCAAUUUCACUUGAAGCUUACUUGUAGUUUCGGGCUUGGUCAAGUGCGAUACAAAACCCUACAGUAGGAGUCCCCCAAGUCGCCGAGCUAGGAGAUUUGCCGAAAGAGGUAACAAACAAGGUAAGCAAUCAGACUUCUAAGCAAGCAAUCUGGAUCAGAGGUUUGACUUCGGCUUCCGGUUGAUUGUUCUUCUUCUCCUUGUGUCGUAAACAGCAACAAGGAUAAGGAGAAGCAAAUGGAGAAGAGAUGAUAUGAGAUACUUUUGCUUUUGAAGAAGUAACUUUCCACAAGCUUAUUCUUGAAUUGGGCUUGAGGGUUUUCUGGUUUCCUCCAGAGUAUAAGGCCGACUCAAGAAUUUGAGGGUCAAAACAAGUACAUCAAAUCAAUAGUGCGUUCGACCUUAAUGAUAUGGGAUACUUUUGCUGUUGACGAAGUAAUAGAUGAAUCGGCAUGUGUUCUGUUGUGCUUGUCUCCACAUGCUUCCUUGUAUCCUUCUCACUUGCCUUAUAUGUUCCUCAAACAGAUGUGGUAUCUUUUCUGGAAGCAUAAGAUGUUGAAGAAGAGCACUCGAGAGCAAUGCCAGGUAAGUAGUCAGGCAAGAGGUUCCAAGCAGUCAGUUCCUGACUUGAAACUUAAUUCCAAGUGCUGACUGAUUGUUCUCUUUCUCUUUGUCUUGCAGGUAAGAACAAGGGUAAAGGAAAAGAUAGGGAAAAAGCAUGAUAUGAGAUACUCUUGCUUUUGACCUUGAUGAUAUGAGAUACUCUUGCUCUGGUGUGGCUAGUUUGCAUAGGUAUUAUUGGGGGGAAGAAAGCUGAGUAUUUCGAGAGGCUUCGUUGGGAGUGCCCUCUCAGAUAUGAGGAAGGGUUGAGCAUUUUUGCAGAUCUGCCUGUCCGUGGAGGAUGGAGGUCGACAUAUAUAGGAGUUUCCCUAACAACAAGUAGUAAUGCUAUUCCUUUACCCUUUUUGGUUGUAGCAAUGUAGUGGGAGCUGCAAGCUUCACGUGUUUUAACUUUGUAAAAGCACUUUGAAAAAAUGGUAUGCGGUAUCUGGAAAACUGGUGUUGCGUGUGAAUAUUGCAUACAAGCUUUAUCCAAGGAAAUCUGAUUCUCGAAGUUCGGAGAGCGAUGCCUCUUCGGUUUUCAAACAAGCAAUCCUGUCGGGGAUCUGGCUCUCGAGAUUCGGAGAACAGUGCCUCUUCGAUUUUUGCGAAAGCAAUCAUGUUGGGAGUUUGGCUCUUAAGAUUUGAAGAGAGGUGCCUCUUCGAUUUUUGAGAAAGUAAUCCUGUUGGGAGUCUGGCUCUCGAGAUUCGGAAGGCGGUGCCUCUUCAAUUUUUGAGCAAGUAAUAAUGUUAUUCCUUUACCCUUCUUGAUCAUAGCAAUGUAGUGGGAGCUGCAAGCUUCACAUGUUUUAACUUUGUCAUAACGCUUUGAAAAAGUGGCAUGCGGUAUCUGGAAAGCUGAUGUUGCGUGUGAAGAUUGCAGACAAGCUUUAUCCAAGGAAAUCUGAUUCUUGAAGUUCGGAGAGUGAUGCCUCUUCGGUUUUCGAACAAGCAAUCCUGUCGAGGAUCUGGCUCUCGAGAUUCGAAGAACAGUGCCUCUUCGAUUUUUGAGCUUCUAGCUCAUUGACUUUAGCUUGAAGAGCAACCCUCUUUCCUUCAUUCUUUCGUUGUUUCGCACUAGGUGCAAGAGGGGUGUCAUUCUGUGUGUUGUGGCUUCCUUCGCUCUCCAUGUUGGAGAUGGAUGCCUGGUCAAAAGAAAGCGUACGAAUUGUGGAAACCAGCUUGACAAAGCUGAAGAGAGUGGGAAUAAGCGUCGUUCCCACAGACGGCGCCAAAUCUUGAUGCACAAAAUCAAUGGGGACUUUGGUACAACAGAAAAUGUUAAGUUUGUGACCUUCGCUAGAUUGCUCCGGUCACUAGUGUGGAUAAGUAUGUAAAUGGAUAGAGACAGGGAAACAAGCACAAGAUGUACAUGGUUUACCUAGAUUGGCUACGUCCACGGAGUAGAGGAGUUCUUAUUAAUUGUGAAGGGUUUACAUAAGUACAUAGGUUCAAGCUUUCCUUUAGUGAGUACUAGUGAAUGAUUUAGUACAAAUGACAUUAGUAAAUAUUGUGAGAGAAUGAUCUCUAUUUAUAGAAGAGAGUUUCUAGUUUCAUUCUGACAUUGACACGUGUCGUGUUGUGAUUGGCUUCUGAUGUCGACACGUGUCGCGCUAUGAUUGGCUUCUGAUGUCGACACGUGUCGCGCUGUGAUUGGUCUCCUGGUUUGAGGAAAACUCUUUUGGGUCCUUGACGGUAUAACGUUGACCGGUGCUCAGUAGUUUCGGGAUUGGUCAAGUACAGUACAAACAGUGUCAAAAACAUAAAAUGAUAAAAAGAGCUAUCGAAAGCUCCAUUUUAAGAGAAUCCCCUUAGCAUUACUCAUGUUAAAAUCUUUAGUAGCAAAGUGAUACCAUGUUCUAUGCAACUUCAAAGAUUGCGAAUUUGUUCACAAUCCAAUGCACUUGAACGUACCGUGUAAAGAUGUGUCAUAAAAUUCUUCAAACCGAAUGGGUUACGGAAUUAUUAACACUAAUUACCAGCUAAUCUACGCAUUAGAGAAAUUAAUUAAUUUAUCAUUAUCUCAGAAAAUAUCUCUGCAAAAUUAAACAGAAAAAAAAUUAAAAAAACAGAAAUUUAGGAAAACAAGGGGCUGAUACAUAGUAUUUAGUAAAUUGGAAAAGAUUUACAGCGGGACGUGGAACAUGGAAGUGCGUGCGCGUGUCAAAGCGGAAGUACGUGGGAGACUGAGACCGCUUGACUACGAUCUAAGAAGUUGUCAGAUAAAACGGUCCCCUUUUUCGUCGUUUUAUAUUUUAAUUAUUUUAUUGGUUGUCGCGUGACUGAGUCUCUGCGGGCUGCACUGCCCAUAGCUUCGCGUCGAAACCGUUAUUUUCUUAACCUGCGCCCCCUGUUUAUUCUAACCAAACCCCCAACUGUUCACUUUGGUUAGGUUAAUCUUUUUGCUGAAUACUCCCCAAACUGUCUGGUAUUUAACCCUUUUGCAAUUGUAUCCUUUCUUCCUUAAGGAAUCUUUUGAUUAUGUGGCUAAUUACAAUUUACAAUUAGGCAGGUGCUUUGUACUUGAUCAAAAGCUUUUAAGGAAUAAUUGCAUUUAAUUUAAUAAAAAUCCAAUCCAAAUUCAUUAUGCCCAGAAAUAUUCACAUGCGUGAAUGAAUAAUAUUUUAAUUUUCUUGCUUGCACUUUAUGUUACUACACAAAAAUCAAUGAUUAAUUCCCCAAAAUAAAUUAUUAUGAUUUAUGCAAUGACAAUGUGAUUAAGAAUAUUGUCUAAAUCACAUACAACCAUAUAAGAAACUUAUAACAAAUAUACGUUUAAAAUGAAAUCGAAAUACCAAUAAAAUGCUAUCUCAAUUUUUUGAAAAGAACUAUCGUGACAUUUAGAUCUUAUGAUCAGGUAUUGUAAAAAUCAUGUUGCAUACAAUGAAUGCAGACAAAAAAUUAUGUCCAAUUGGCUUACUCCUGUUCAAUUAGUAAGUAGUUAAAAAUACGAUGAAAAUGAUAAAAAUUACAUACUAAAUAUAUUGUUCAAUCUAAAAGUUGAACGUGAGUUGAAGAAUUAAAAAAAAAAAAGUGUAAAUAUCAUGUUGAUUUACCUCUUAAACAAAGAGUAGCGUUUGUCGACCUACCGUAUCGUUUAUAUGCAUGGACCAACUCAUUGGAAUGGAAUCAAUAGCAUAUAUAGUUAACGAUCAAUUACAAUAUAAUCAAUAAAUAACACGCGUUGCAGUCGUGUAGCCCACAACACAAAUAACCAAAAAUGUAGGGGCACGAAUGAAAAUAUCGAAAUAAAGAAGGGAAGUAUCGCGGGAGCUGGAGCAUCUUCUCCUCCCCAUUCACUAUAAAUAGAUAACUCGAGUGAAGCUAGGUUUGCCGAAUUGGGAAGCGAAACGCAGCUUACAAGAAAAGAAAAACAAAACCCUCUCUCUUCUCUUUCUCUCUCCUCUGGUCUCCAAAUCUUCUCACUUUCUCUCUCUAAAACCUCAGCCUGAUCAACAACCAUGGCAGCAACUUCAAGAAGAUCCUCAAGCGGCUGCGGCCCAGUCCUCCGCUCCGCUCCACCACCCGCCGGAAGGUUCCAAAGCACUCGGUAUUCCUCUUCCUCCGCCUUUGCUUCCUCCACUUCCAGCUUCACCUCUCGCUCCUCCACCUUCUUCAACCGCACCGUCUCCCCCCCGCGCCUCAACGUCGCCACCGCCUCUCCCUCCGCCCAGUCCGUACGUUUCUCCUUCGACCGCCCAACCUCCCCCAGCCGAUCCAUCUCCGUCUCACCACGCGGCACCGGCAGCCACCACCACCACCACACCGCCGUCCCCAGCGGCCGGAAUAUCAGUCAGCCGAAGCGAACCUGCAUGUGUUCCCCUACCACACACCCCGGCUCCUUCCGCUGCAGCCUCCACAAGAAC